GGAUAACAGGUUGAUAUUCCUGUACCACCUAUAAUCGUUUUAAUCGAUGGGGGGACGCAGUAGGAUAGGCGAAGCGUGCGAUUGGAUUGCACGUCUAAGCAGUAAGGCUGAGUAUUAGGCAAAUCCGGUACUCGUUAAGGCUGAGCUGUGAUGGGGAGAAGACAUUGUGUCUUCGAGUCGUUGAUUUCACACUGCCGAGAAAAGCCUCUAGAUAGAAAAUAGGUGCCCGUACCGCAAACCGACACAGGUAGUCAAGAUGAGAAUUCUAAGGUGAGCGAGCGAACUCUCGUUAAGGAACUCGGCAAAAUGACCCCGUAACUUCGGGAGAAGGGGUGCUCUUUAGGGUUAACGCCCAGAAGAGCCGCAGUGAAUAGGCCCAAGCGACUGUUUAUCAAAAACACAGGUCUCUGCUAAACCGUAAGGUGAUGUAUAGGGGCUGACGCCUGCCCGGUGCUGGAAGGUUAAGAGGAGUGGUUAGCUUCUGCGAAGCUACGAAUCGAAGCCCCAGUAAACGGCGGCCGUAACUAUAACGGUCCUAAGGUAGCGAAAUUCCUUGUCGGGUAAGUUCCGACCCGCACGAAAGGCGUAACGAUUUGGGCACUGUCUCAACGAGAGACUCGGUGAAAUCAUAGUACCUGUGAAGAUGCAGGUUACCCGCGACAGGACGGAAAGACCCCGUGGAGCUUUACUGUAGCCUGAUAUUGAAAUUCGGCACAGCUUGUACAGGAUAGGUAGGAGCCUUUGAAACGUGAGCGCUAGCUUACGUGGAGGCGCUGGUGG
This 780-nucleotide ribosomal RNA is filed under the name Staphylococcus aureus. RNAcentral's name for it is "partial 23S ribosomal RNA". It matches the Rfam family "Bacterial large subunit ribosomal RNA", at positions 1420 to 2195 of the family's 2925-position model. The record is from RNAcentral. Lineage: Bacteria; Bacillati; Bacillota; Bacilli; Caryophanales; Staphylococcaceae.